CCUACGGGUGGCAGCAGUGAGGAAUAUUGGUCAAUGGACGAGAGUCUGAACCAGCCAAGUAGCGUGAAGGAUGACUGCCCUAUGGGUUGUAAACUUCUUUUAUAUGGGAAUAAAAUGUUCCACGUGUGGGAUUUUGUAUGUACCAUAUGAAUAAGGAUCGGCUAACUCCGUGCCAGCAGCCGCGGUAAUACGGAGGAUCCGAGCGUUAUCCGGAUUUAUUGGGUUUAAAGGGAGCGUAGGUGGAUUGUUAAGUCAGUUGUGAAAGUUUGCGGCUCAACCGUAAAAUUGCAGUUGAAACUGGCAGUCUUGAGUACAGUAGAGGUGGGCGGAAUGCGUGGUGUAGCGGUGAAAUGCUUAGAUAUCGCGAAGAACUCCGAUUGCGAAGGCAGUUCACUGGACUGCAACUGACACUGAGGCUCGAAAGUGUGGGUAUCAAACAGGAUUAGAUACCCUGGUAGUC
Molecule: ribosomal RNA, 460 nt
Filed under: uncultured bacterium
Lineage: Bacteria
Description: partial 16S ribosomal RNA
Rfam family: Bacterial small subunit ribosomal RNA
Source: RNAcentral